RNAcentral lists this ribosomal RNA (186 nucleotides) under Agaricus pocillator. RNAcentral describes it as "partial 25S large subunit ribosomal RNA". It matches the Rfam family "Eukaryotic large subunit ribosomal RNA", at positions 1656 to 1843 of the family's 3401-position model. Lineage: Eukaryota; Fungi; Basidiomycota; Agaricomycetes; Agaricales; Agaricaceae. The record is from RNAcentral.
AACUUGGAGACGUUGGCAGGGGCCCCGGGAAGAGUUAUCUUUUCUCCUUAACAGUCUACCACCCUGAAAUCAGAUUGUCUGGAGCUAGGGUUCAAUGACUGGUAGAGCACAACACCUCUGUUGUGUCCGGUGCGUUCCUGACAACCCUUGAAAAUCCAAGGGAAUGAAUAAUUUUCACACCUGGUC